UGAAUGAAUGGAAUGCUUACUAAAUAAAAGA
RNAcentral lists this non-coding RNA (31 nucleotides) under Rattus norvegicus (Norway rat). Lineage: Eukaryota; Metazoa; Chordata; Mammalia; Rodentia; Muridae. The record is from RNAcentral.